This 447-nucleotide ribosomal RNA is filed under the name uncultured Porphyrobacter sp. RNAcentral describes it as "bacterial SSU rRNA". It matches the Rfam family "Bacterial small subunit ribosomal RNA", at positions 936 to 1382 of the family's 1533-position model. Lineage: Bacteria; Pseudomonadati; Pseudomonadota; Alphaproteobacteria; Sphingomonadales; Erythrobacteraceae. The record is from RNAcentral.
AGCAUGUGGUUUAAUUCGAAGCAACGCGCAGAACCUUACCAGCCUUUGACAUCCUAGGACGACUUCUGGAGACAGAUUUCCUUCCCUUCGGGGACCUAGUGACAGGUGCUGCAUGGCUGUCGUCAGCUCGUGUCGUGAGAUGUUGGGUUAAGUCCCGCAACGAGCGCAACCCUCGUCCUUAGUUGCCAUCAUUAAGUUGGGCACUUUAAGGAAACUGCCGGUGAUAAGCCGGAGGAAGGUGGGGAUGACGUCAAGUCCUCAUGGCCCUUACAGGCUGGGCUACACACGUGCUACAAUGGCAUCUACAGUGGGCAGCUAUUCCGCAAGGAUGCGCUAAUCUCCAAAAGAUGUCUCAGUUCGGAUUGUCCUCUGCAACUCGAGGGCAUGAAGGCGGAAUCGCUAGUAAUCGCGGAUCAGCAUGCCGCGGUGAAUACGUUCCCAGGCCUU